This 253-nucleotide ribosomal RNA is filed under the name uncultured bacterium. RNAcentral's name for it is "partial 16S ribosomal RNA". It matches the Rfam family "Bacterial small subunit ribosomal RNA", at positions 524 to 776 of the family's 1533-position model. The record is from RNAcentral.
UACGAAGGGUGCAAGCGUUACUCGGAAUUACUGGGCGUAAAGCGUGCGUAGGCGGUUUGUUAAGUCCGCUGUGAAAGCCCUGGGCUCAACCUGGGAAUUGCAGUGGAUACUGGCAAGCUAGAGUGCGGUAGAGGAUGGUGGAAUUCCCGGUGUGGCGGUGAAAUGCGUAGAGAUCGGGAGGAACACCCGUGGCGAAGGCGGCCAUCUGGACCAGCACUGACGCUGAGGAGCGAAAGCGUGGGGAGCAAACAGG